GCUGUCCUCAAUCUCACUACACUACUGCCUAAGACUUCAUCUACUCAUCACUGCGUUGACAUUCUGGCAGAAGAAACUGGUACUCAAAAUGAUCUAAAGGAUCAGAUCAGCCUUGGCCAGAGAGUUCGAGCUGGUACACUGAUGGCAGUAGCCUCGAGGUUGAAGGGCGGCCCCACCCUAAGCUGCUAACCAUCGAGGGAGACAUCUGCCCACUUAAAACUACUUUCCCAGCAAAUAACUGUAGUGGCAUCCCACACUCUUAAAAGCAUUAUCUGAAAGCCCCCUGACUGAUGGAUGACAACCAACGCUCCUGUGACACAUCAGAGCUUUUUGUUGACUGAACGAGUGACCUUCGCCCCACCUGCUGUCCUCAAUCUCACUACACUACUGCCUAAGACUUCAUCUACUCAUCACUGCGUUGACAUUCUGGCAGAAGAAACUGGUACUCAAAAUGAUCUAAAGGAUCAGAUCAGCCUUGGCCAGAGAGUUCGAGCUGGUACACUGAUGGCAGUAGCCUCGAGGUUGAAGGUAAGCAGAAGGUGGGGACAGCAGUACGGUGGUGAACAGAAAGCAAGUGAUCUAGGCCAGCAGUCUCCCUAAAGGGACGUCGGCCCAAAAAGCUGAACUUGUGACUUUGAUACAAAGAGGGCUGUUGACAUCUGCAGAGAAGGACCUAAGAUGCUGUGGCUAAAGGAAACCAGAUGGCAAAUCUAACCGCCAAACAUGUGGCCCAAAGAACAAUGAUCCUGGCAGUCAAGGAGCCUAAAGAUUAUUAUGAUGUCAGAGAGACCAGCUUUAGAUACACCCCUGAACACUAUCAAGUUAUGGACAUUGCUUGACCCACCUGGGGACCAAGAAAUUAAAAGGUGUGGUUAGGUCCUUUGACUACUAUGUUACAGGAUGCUCUGACUUGACAGAAAAAAUAGUCAAAAGCUACAAGGCCUGUGCUAUAAUGAGGUAAAAUUUACAAAAAUUAAGCCAGCUAGAUAUGGCAACAAGUACUUAGUGUUUAUAGACACCGUUUCAAGAUGGAUAAAAGCUUUUCCUACCAGAACUGAGACGAUCAAUGUGAUAGCCAAGAAGAUCCUAAAAGAAAACUUCCCGAGGUAAUGGACCUGCCUUUGUUGCCCAGGUAAAUCAGGAAAUGGCCAAGAUAUUCGAGAAUGGUUAGAAGUUACAUUGUGCAUACAGGCUCCAAAGCUCAGGACAGGUAAAAAAGAUAAAUAAAAUUCUAAAAGAGACUGGUGCAGACUUAGUGCUCCUUCCCCAUGCCCAAUUUAAAACUAGAAAUACUCCCCUUUUGAUUCAGCCUUACUCUUUUUAAGAUCCUUUAUGGGGCUCCCNUGUUCAUCACUGUCUUAAAUGAUGUGUUUAAACCUACAUGUUGUUGUAAUAAUAAUCUGUGUGCUAAGUUAAAAGGCUUGCAGGUGGUACAGAAAAAAGGCUGGUCACAAUUGGCUACAGCAAACGAGCCGGGUACCACAAAAGACAUCUCACCAGUUACAGCCAGAGAUCUGACCCAUGUACACCUAGAUCAUGCCCAGACCCUCAAGCCUUACUAGAAGGGUCCCUGCCUAGUUCUGCUUACUAUCCCUUCUUAAUUCUGUUAAUUUCUAUUCUCCACAUAGAAAUAUAGACUUCUAAAAUUCUAAGAUUAGAAUUACUUAGUAGAAGAA
Non-coding RNA from Mus caroli (Ryukyu mouse), 1676 nucleotides. The record is from RefSeq and is a predicted model, not a curated record. NCBI's taxonomy places the organism in Eukaryota, Metazoa, Chordata, Mammalia, Rodentia, Muridae.